RNAcentral lists this long non-coding RNA (524 nucleotides) under Canis lupus familiaris (dog). RNAcentral describes it as "lncRNA (ENSCAFG00000033073.3, ENSCAFG00845003175.1)". Lineage: Eukaryota; Metazoa; Chordata; Mammalia; Carnivora; Canidae. The record is from RNAcentral.
GUAGCCUUCACAGUAUGGUCUUCUACCAAACCUUUUUUUCUUUUCUAGGUUACCGUCACAUAAGGAUUCAUCUCAAGGGGUCUCCUAUUGAUGAUCUCAGCUCUUGCUCUCCACUUAUUCCCCUUUUCAGAUUUCUUUCAUCCUCCUAUGAUACACGGGUUUUCUGGAUGGCAGACAGUAGACAAGAUUAAAGUAAAAGACAAAAUAUAUCUUGAGUAUUUUGUCAGAAGAACAGACUUAUCCCUGCUUGUUGAACAUAAUAGGACUGGAAAGAGCUUUUAUAACUGGGCUCUGGUCAACCAUGGCAGAUCAUGGUACCCUGGGAAGAUCAGCCUCACUGGGAUUCAAGUUCGUCAGCUGAAAAAGAGGGGGAGACAUUAAAUAAUCUGUAAGGUUUCUUCUAUUACAAAUUGCCAUGAUUUCUUCUUUACAACUUAUUUCUCAUUUAGGAAGAAAAUGGGUAAAACGCAAGGUAUAAAAUAUGAAUUGCAUUGUAUAGUAGGAAAUCAUGAACUUUGUCUUGG